This 509-nucleotide ribosomal RNA is filed under the name Ptycta simulator kilauea. RNAcentral's name for it is "partial 16S ribosomal RNA". The stretch from base 376 to 509 matches the Rfam family "Bacterial large subunit ribosomal RNA", at positions 2473 to 2607 of the family's 2925-position model. Lineage: Eukaryota; Metazoa; Arthropoda; Insecta; Psocodea; Psocidae. The record is from RNAcentral.
AAAACAUGUCUUUUUGAUAAAAAUUAAAGUCAGGUCUGCUCACUGAAUAAUUUUAAAGAGCCGCAGUAUACUGACUGUGCAAAGGUAGCAUAAUCAAUAGUUUUUUAAUUGAAAACUGGAAUGAAAGAUUAGACGAAAAAUUAAUUUUCUUUAUUUUAAUAAAUUUAAUUUUAAAUUUAAGUGAAAAUGCUUAAAUAUAAUUAAAAGACGAGAAGACCCUAUAGAUUUUUAUUAUUGAAAUAAAUUUAUAAAUGUGAUUUAAUAAAAUAAUUUAAUUGGGGUGAUUUUAUAAUAUAAAUAACUUAAUUUCUUGAAACCAUAAAUAAUUGAAUUUUUGAUCUAAAAUUUUUAAAGAAAAGAUUAAAUUACCUUAGGGAUAACAGCGUAAUUUUAUUUAAGAGUUCGUAUCUAUAAUAAAGUUUGCGACCUCGAUGUUGAAUUAAGAUAAUAUAUUGGAGUAGAAAUUAAUAUAAUUAGUCUGUUCGACUAUUAAAUUCUUACGUGAUCUG